CCUACGGGAGGCAGCAGUGAGGAAUAUUGGUCAAUGGACGAGAGUCUGAACCAGCCAAGUAGCGUGAAGGAUGACUGCCCUAUGGGUUGUAAACUUCUUUUAUAAAGGAAUAAAACGAGGCACGUGUGCCUUUUUGCAUGUACUUUAUGAAUAAGGAUCGGCUAACUCCGUGCCAGCAGCCGCGGUAAUACGGAGGAUCCGCGCGUUAUCCGGAUUUAUUGGGUUUAAAGGGAGCGUAGAUGAGUUGUUAAGUCAGUUGUGAAAGGUUGCGGCUCAACCGUAAAAUUGCAAUUGAUACUGGCAGUCUUGAGUACAGUUGAGGUAGGCGGAAUUCGUGGUGUAGCGGUGAAAUGCUUAGAUAUCACGAAGAACCCCGAUUGCGAAGGCAGCUUACUAAACUGUGACUGACAUUGAUGCUCGAAAGUGUGGGUAUCAAACAGGAUUAGAUACCCCGGUAGUC
This 460-nucleotide ribosomal RNA is filed under the name uncultured bacterium. RNAcentral describes it as "partial 16S ribosomal RNA". It matches the Rfam family "Bacterial small subunit ribosomal RNA", at positions 338 to 795 of the family's 1533-position model. The record is from RNAcentral.